This 384-nucleotide ribosomal RNA is filed under the name uncultured bacterium. Its description in RNAcentral is "bacterial SSU rRNA". It matches the Rfam family "Bacterial small subunit ribosomal RNA", at positions 28 to 416 of the family's 1533-position model. The record is from RNAcentral.
GACGAACGCUGGCGGCGUGCUUAACACAUGCAAGUCGAGCGGUAAGGCCCUUUUGGGGGUACACGAGCGGCGAACGGGUGAGUAACACGUGGGUGACCUGCCCUCAGCUCUGGGAUAAGCCUGGGAAACUGGGUCUAAUACUGGAUAUGACCUUUCCUCGCAUGGGGUUGGGGUGGAAAGUUUUCGGCUGGGGAGUGGCCCGCGGCCUAUCAGCUUGUUGGUGGGGUGAUGGCCUACCAAGGCGACGACGGGUAGCCGGCCUGAGAGGGCGACCGGCCACACUGGGACUGAGACACGGCCCAGACUCCUACGGGAGGCAGCAGUGGGGAAUAUUGCGCAAUGGGCGGAAGCCUGACGCAGCGACGCCGCGUGGGGAUGACGGCC